Molecule: ribosomal RNA, 414 nt
Filed under: Pediastrum duplex
Lineage: Eukaryota; Viridiplantae; Chlorophyta; Chlorophyceae; Sphaeropleales; Hydrodictyaceae
Description: partial large subunit ribosomal RNA
Rfam family: Bacterial large subunit ribosomal RNA
Source: RNAcentral
GGACAGAAAGACCCUAUGAAGCUUGACUGUAUCCUGGAAUUGGGUUCGGGCUUUUCUUGCGCAGUCUAGGUGGGAGGCAUUGAAGAUUUCUUUCCGGAGAGAUUGGAGCCAUCAGUGAGAGACCACUCUGGAAAGGCUAGAAUCCUAAGAGUGAUCCCUAAUCGGGACAUUUGACGUUUUCAGGAGGGCAGUUUUUUUGGGGCGAAAGUCCUCCUAAAAGGUAACGGAGGCGCGCAAAGGUUUCCUCAGUCUGGACGGAAAUCAGACGUUACAGAGUGUAAAGGCAAAAGGAAGCUUGACUGCAAGACCUACAAGUCGAGCAGGGGCGAAAGCCGGCCUUAGUGAUCCGACGGUAUCCGCGUGGAAGGGCCGUCGCUCAACGGAUAAAAGUUACUCUAGGGAUAACAGGCUGAA